Molecule: ribosomal RNA, 310 nt
Filed under: uncultured eukaryote
Lineage: Eukaryota
Description: partial 18S ribosomal RNA
Rfam family: Eukaryotic small subunit ribosomal RNA
Source: RNAcentral
CCCUUAGAUGUUCUGGGCGGCCCGCGCACUACAAUGGCGCUUUCAGCGAGUUCCUAUGUUGAAUUUUCCUGGGUAUUCUUGGAAGCGGCGUCUUGACUUGGGAUAGAUCCUUGUAAUUGUUGGUUUUGAACGAGGAAUUCCUUGUAAUCGCGGUUGAUCAGCUCGCGUUGAAUACGUCCCUGCCCUUUGUACACACCGCCCGUCGCUCCUACCGAUGAAUCGUCCGGUGAAGUUCACAGAGUGGCGGUUCGUGGAGUUGCUCGCGAAGUGAAAUGGACCUCACGAUUUAGAGGAAGGAGAAGUCGUAACA